CCUACGGGUGGCAGCAGUGAGGAAUAUUGGUCAAUGGCCGGAAGGCUGAACCAGCCAUGCCGCGUGAAGGUCAGUGCCCUAUGGGCGUUAAACUUCUUUUGUGCGGGAGCAAUAAUGGUCACGUGUGGCCAGACGAGAGUACCGUACGAAUAAGCAUCGGCUAACUCCGUGCCAGCAGCCGCGGUAAUACGGGGGGUGCAAGCGUUGUCCGGAAUCAUUGGGCGUAAAGCGUUCGUAGGCGGCAAGGUAAGUCUGAUGUUAAAGCCCGGGGCUCAACUCCGGUUCGGCAUUGGAUACUAUCUAGCUAGAAUGUGGUAGAGGUAAAGGGAAUUCCUGGUGUAGCGGUGAAAUGCGUAGAUAUCAGGAGGAACAUCGGUGGCGAAAGCGCUUUACUGGACCAUUAUUGACGCUGAGGAACGAAAGCCAGGGGAGCAAAUGGGAUUAGAUACCCCAGUAGUC
RNAcentral lists this ribosomal RNA (459 nucleotides) under uncultured bacterium. RNAcentral describes it as "partial 16S ribosomal RNA". It matches the Rfam family "Bacterial small subunit ribosomal RNA", at positions 338 to 795 of the family's 1533-position model. The record is from RNAcentral.